This 336-nucleotide unclassified non-coding RNA is filed under the name soil metagenome. RNAcentral describes it as "partial contains 5.8S ribosomal RNA, internal transcribed spacer 2, and large subunit ribosomal RNA". The stretch from base 1 to 120 matches the Rfam family "5.8S ribosomal RNA", at positions 35 to 154 of the family's 154-position model. The record is from RNAcentral.
GAUGAAGAACGCAGCGAAAUGCGAUAAGUAGUGUGAAUUGCAGAAUUCAGUGAAUCAUCGAAUCUUUGAACGCACAUUGCGCCCCUUGGUAUUCCAUGGGGCAUGCCUGUUCGAGCGUCAUUUGUACUUUCAAGCUUUGCUUGGUGUUGGGUGUUUGUCUCGCCUUUGCGUGUAGACUCGCCUUAAAGUAAUUGGCAGCCGGCGUAUUGAUUUCGGAGCGCAGUACAUCUCGCGCUUUGCACUCAUAACGACAGCGUCCAAAAGUACAUUUUACACUCUUGACCUCGGAUCAGGUAGGGAUACCCGCUGAACUUAAGCAUAUCAAUAAGCGGAGGA